ACUGAAUUGGACUUCAUACGAUGGGCAACAGCACAAGUCACAGUGGUUUGAUACUUCCACCCCAUGGAGCACCUCCGGGAUCGAUCGGCAGAAGUCCACUACCCUUAAGACCUGAAAAUUUCCAGAGGAGAAAGACCAUAAUAAAGUGUAUAAUCGGUUUGAUGAUUUUACUGUGGAUUGUGGUCAUCGGAGUUAAUGUCAGACUGCGGUUGUAACGCUGUUUUCAACAACAUCGAUAAUUGCAUCAAUAAACGAAAUCUCCGCCUUUCAGUGCACGUCGUUAACAAAUGAAUCGAAGAUUGGAUUUAAAGGCUAACUACAAGAAUCUUGGGUUUUGUGUCAUAUCCUGUUACAAGUGUAAGCUAUUCCGUACGUAUAUUCUGUGUAUAUAACAUUUAUAAUCGUAAAAUUCUAUUUAUGGAUAUAUACAUACAACCAUAUCUCUCUCAACUUGAGGGGAUAAUUUUUUUCGCGCGAUAUGCGAUAUACAGAAACGAACAAAUAGUGACCCAGAGUGGUCGAUGGGAAUGUAACUUUUUCCUCUUGAUUGGUAUAUCGACAAACGUACAUGGUAUAUAACGUUUCAGAUAUAAGAGAAACGCGCAAAAAGUACCGGUAAGGUAAUUAUUAUAGAGACCUGUUCGUUAAUGAUUUAAUUAAUCCAAAUACGAUGAUUUUGCUGCUUUGUAUGAUCAUAAAUACAGUAACCUGUUAUACUGCAAAAUGAUUUUAAUUAAUUCUAUACGAUACAGCUCGGAUAGGUAGUAACCGGAAUGUAACGCUUAUAGUUGUUAAAGGUCUAAAAUAUCCGUAAAAUUUUUUGUAAUAAAUACAUAGAUGAGCA
Molecule: unclassified non-coding RNA, 844 nt
Filed under: Athalia rosae (coleseed sawfly)
Lineage: Eukaryota; Metazoa; Arthropoda; Insecta; Hymenoptera; Athaliidae
Description: misc RNA ENSAEAG00005003855.1
Source: RNAcentral